AUGCAGCCAAACACAGCCAGGGGCACUGCACCCAGGCUGGCUGGCAGGCUACCUGUGUCCCCCUCCCUCCCUCCCUCCCUUCCUCAGAACCAGUGCCACAAUUUUCUGUCUCCCCACUCAAAAAUAAUCUCAGAGCCCAGCUUCAGAUGCCUCCUGCCUGGUCCCCCAAGUUCUGUCCACAGAGGAGCCCUUGGGCAUUUUCAGGCUUCCCACUUCCACCCUUGGGAUGGCAGGUCCUGUCCCCUUGAACUCUCCCUCUCCCCUUUUCUCUCUCCCCCUUCUCUUUCCUCCCUGUGCUUGGCUUCGUCCUCAAGCAAGACCUUCCACCCCCCACCCCGUUCCCCUUCCUCUUCUCCCUUUCCCACAUUUGUUCCUCCCCAUAACUUCCUUCUUUUCCUUCUCUUUUUCCUCCUCCUCACUUCUCUUCCCCCUCUUUACUGCCUCUACCAACCCUCCGUCCAUCACGUCCAUCACGUAAGAGGAGGGGAAGAGGGAAUGGGGCAUUCUCACCAGCCCCUUGGUCAGCAUGACUUCUCCUCUCCACUCCAAAGAGGAGGAGGAGGGGGAAAGAGGAGGAGGAAAGAGAAGAGGAAGGCACCAGCCGAAAGAACAGCACUGCACCAGUGGGGGAAAGGGGGGGGAGAGAACCAGGACCCCCUGCUCUUCCCCUCCCUCCUCCCCUCCCUCCGCCAAGGAAAUCUCAUCAGGAUAGCAGCUGUGGCCCCUGCUGUACUAUGGUCAGAAGGCUUCUUGGAAGCAGACGGAGUUUCAAGGAGCGAUUGUGUGGUGUUUCAAAGCUAUUUAUGCAUAACAUAAAUGUCAUCUGCUAAGAGCAUUUGUACCUCUUCUUGGUAUCAGUUCACUAGAACAAUAAGCUGCUGGCCAGUUUCGGGCACCCCAGGAGUCCGCCUGGCCUGCAGGGUCCUCUGCAGAAGUCAUCUGGUUCAUCCUAGGAAGACUGGAUAAGCACGUUCAACCUCAGAGGACAAUCAUCCAGAUACUCUCCAAGACGUCCUGGCCUGCUCCCUCAAUGGAUCAAAACCAGUGUUUGGAGACCUUGCUUUUCUCAUUUCAAACUAUGCCUAUUCUGCAGCCAGGAUGGCCACUGGCAGGAGGUGACGGCAGGAGAUUCUUGGGGUGGGGUAGGCACGCUCUAGGCCAAAUAAAGAGUAUCUUUUCCAAGCUCUAGGCUGGCUG
This 1197-nucleotide long non-coding RNA is filed under the name Pogona vitticeps (central bearded dragon). RNAcentral describes it as "lncRNA (ENSPVIG00000006863.1)". Lineage: Eukaryota; Metazoa; Chordata; Lepidosauria; Squamata; Agamidae. The record is from RNAcentral.